This 116-nucleotide ribosomal RNA is filed under the name Scophthalmus maximus (turbot). Lineage: Eukaryota; Metazoa; Chordata; Actinopteri; Pleuronectiformes; Scophthalmidae. The record is from RNAcentral.
GCUUACGGCCACACCGCCUGGUUCCACGAUCUCGUUUGAUCUCGGAAUCUAAGAUAGGUUGGUCCUGGUUAGUACUUGGAUGGGAGACCGCCUGGGAAUACCAGGUGCUGUAAGCU